GUCCCCGUAGCUCAAUUGGAUAGAGCAACGGACUUCUAAUCCGUAGGUUGACAGUUCGACUCUGUCCGGGGAUA
Molecule: transfer RNA, 74 nt
Rfam family: tRNA
About the family: Transfer RNA (tRNA) molecules are approximately 80 nucleotides in length.